GGAGGUAUGGCUCAGUGGUAGAGCGCGUGCUUAGCAUGCACGAGGUCCUGGGUUCCAUCCCCAGUACCUCCG
This 72-nucleotide transfer RNA is filed under the name Vicugna pacos (alpaca). RNAcentral's name for it is "tRNA-Ala (AGC) (tRNA-Ala-AGC-484-1)". It matches the Rfam family "tRNA". Rfam says of the family: Transfer RNA (tRNA) molecules are approximately 80 nucleotides in length. Lineage: Eukaryota; Metazoa; Chordata; Mammalia; Artiodactyla; Camelidae. The record is from Rfam by way of RNAcentral.